GAUGAACGCUGGCGGCGUGCCUAAUACAUGCAAGUCGAGCGAACGGACGAGAAGCUUGCUUCUCUGAUGUUAGCGGCGGACGGGUGAGUAACACGUGGCUAACCUACAUAUAAGACUGGGAUAACUUCGGGAAACCGGAGCUAAUACCGGAUAAUAUUUUGAACCGCAUGGUUCAAAAGUGAAAGACGGUCUUGCUGUCACUUAUAGAUGGAUCCGCGCUGCAUUAGCUAGUUGGUAAGGUAACGGCUUACCAAGGCAACGAUGCAUAGCCGACCUGAGAGGGUGAUCGGCCACACUGGAACUGAGACACGGUCCAGACUCCUACGGGAGGCAGCAGUAGGGAAUCUUCCGCAAUGGGCGAAAGCCUGACGGAGCAACGCCGCGUGAGUGAUGAAGGUCUUCGGAUCGUAAAACUCUGUUAUUAGGGAAGAACAUAUGUGUAAGUAACUGUGCACAUCUUGACGGUACCUAAUCAGAAAGCCACGGCUAACUACGUG
This 497-nucleotide ribosomal RNA is filed under the name uncultured bacterium. RNAcentral's name for it is "partial 16S ribosomal RNA". It matches the Rfam family "Bacterial small subunit ribosomal RNA", at positions 28 to 507 of the family's 1533-position model. The record is from RNAcentral.